RNAcentral lists this ribosomal RNA (346 nucleotides) under uncultured bacterium. RNAcentral's name for it is "partial 16S ribosomal RNA". It matches the Rfam family "Bacterial small subunit ribosomal RNA", at positions 338 to 681 of the family's 1533-position model. The record is from RNAcentral.
CCUACGGGUGGCUGCAGGGAGGAAUAUUGGGCAAUGGACGAGAGUCGGAACCAGCCAAGGAGCGUGAAGGAUGAAGGCCCUAUGGGUUGUAAACUUCGUUUAUAGGGGAAUAAAAUGUGCCACGUGUGGGAUUUUGUAUGUACCAUAUGAAUAAGGAUCGGCUAACUCCGUGCCAGCAGCCGCGGUAAUACGGAGGAUCCGAGCGUUAUCCGGAUUUAUUGGGUUUAAAGGGAGCGUAGGUGGAUUGUUAAGUCAGUUGUGAAAGUUUGCGGCUCAACCGUAAAAUUGCAGUUGAAACUGGCAGUCUUUCGUACCGUAGAGGUGGGCGGCAUUCGUGGUGUAGCGG